RNAcentral lists this ribosomal RNA (444 nucleotides) under uncultured bacterium. Its description in RNAcentral is "bacterial SSU rRNA". It matches the Rfam family "Bacterial small subunit ribosomal RNA", at positions 331 to 792 of the family's 1533-position model. The record is from RNAcentral.
CCAGACUCCUACGGGAGGCAGCAGUGGGGAAUAUUGCACAAUGGGGGAAACCCUGAUGCAGCGACGCCGCGUGAGCGAGGAAGUAUUUCGGUAUGUAAAGCUCUGUCAGCAGGGAAGAAGAAUGACGGUACCCGGAGAAAAAGCAUCGGCUAACUCCGUGCCAGCAGCCGCGGUAAUACGGAGGAUGCGAGCGUUAUCCGGAUUUAUUGGGUUUAAAGGGUGCGUAGGCGGGCUGUUAAGUCAGCGGUCAAAUGUCGGGGCUCAACCCCGGCCUGCCGUUGAAACUGGCGGCCUCGAGUUGGAGAGAAGUAUGCGGAAUGCGCGGUGUAGCGGUGAAAUGCAUAGAUAUCGCGCAGAACUCCGAUUGCGAAGGCAGCAUGCCGGCUCCACACUGACGCUGAGGCACGAAAGCGUGGGUAUCGAACAGGAUUAGAUACCCCAGUA